GUACUGAUGAGGAGUCCCACACUAGGACGAAACAGCUAUCCAGUAC
RNAcentral lists this non-coding RNA (46 nucleotides) under Trichobilharzia regenti. Lineage: Eukaryota; Metazoa; Platyhelminthes; Trematoda; Strigeidida; Schistosomatidae. The record is from RNAcentral.